GGAGGGCAUCAUAGAGAGAUGGUGGCCCUAUGGAGGUCACCAUAGAGGGAUGGUGGCCAAUGGGGUGCGGAUGGUGGCCAUGGGCUUGGCAUGGUGAUGGGGUGGAUCCACGGAGUAUCAUAGAGGGGUGGGGGCCAAUGGGGUGGGGAUGGUGGUCAUGGGCUCGGCAUGGUGAUGGGAUGGAUCCAGGGGGCAUCAUGGAGGGAUGGUGGUCCCAUGGAGGUCACCAUAGAGGGGUGGUGGCCAAUGGGGUGGGGAUGUGGAGGGAUGGUGGCCCUAUGGAGAUCACCAUAGCGGGGUGGUGGCCAAUGGCGGUGGUGGAAUGGGAGGUGGAGGCCAUGG
Molecule: long non-coding RNA, 342 nt
Organism: Pezoporus occidentalis (night parrot)
Lineage: Eukaryota; Metazoa; Chordata; Aves; Psittaciformes; Psittacidae
Exons: 3
Source: RefSeq, a predicted model, not a curated record